GGAAGGAUGAGAAGCUUCGACUAAGGUUCGACUCGAGCGAAGCGAGAGAACGUUGCCGCAGGCAACGGCCCGAAGGGCGAGGCGCUUUAGCGCCGAGUAAUCCUUCCCCCACCACUG
RNAcentral lists this small RNA (117 nucleotides) under Klebsiella pneumoniae. RNAcentral's name for it is "partial RtT sRNA". It matches the Rfam family "RtT RNA", at positions 16 to 130 of the family's 130-position model. Rfam says of the family: This family represents a bacterial cis-regulatory element known as RtT RNA. The exact function of RtT is unknown although it is thought that it may be involved in changing the cellular response in relation to amino acid starvation. The record is from RNAcentral. Lineage: Bacteria; Pseudomonadati; Pseudomonadota; Gammaproteobacteria; Enterobacterales; Enterobacteriaceae.